CCUACGGGGGACAGCAGUGAGGAAUAUUGGUCAAUGGGCGUAAGCCUGAACCAGCCAAGUCGCGUGAGGGAUGAAGGUUCUAUGGAUCGUAAACCUCUUUUAUAAGGGAAUAAAGUGUGGGACGUGUCCUGUUUUGUAUGUACCUUAUGAAUAAGGAUCGGCUAACUCCGUGCCAGCAGCCGCGGUAAUACGGAGGAUCCGAGCGUUAUCCGGAUUUAUUGGGUUUAAAGGGUGCGUAGGCGGCCUUUUAAGUCAGCGGUGAAAGUCUGUGGCUCAACCAUAGAAUUGCCGUUGAAACUGGGAGGCUUGAGUAUGUUUGAGGCAGGCGGAAUGCGUGGUGUAGCGGUGAAAUGCGUAGAUAUCACGCAGAACCCCGAUGGCGAAGGCAGCCUGCCAAGCCAUGACUGACGCUGAUGCACGAAAGCGUGGGGAUCAAACAGGAUUAGAUACCCGGGUAGUC
This 460-nucleotide ribosomal RNA is filed under the name uncultured bacterium. RNAcentral's name for it is "partial 16S ribosomal RNA". It matches the Rfam family "Bacterial small subunit ribosomal RNA", at positions 338 to 795 of the family's 1533-position model. The record is from RNAcentral.